AACGGAGGCGCUCAAAGGUUCUCUCAGUACGGUCGGAAAUCGUACGUAGAGUGUAAAGGCAAAAGAGAGCUUGAUUGCAAGACAUACAGGUCGAGCAAGGAUGAAAAUCGGACUUAGUGAUCCGGUGGUUCUGCGUGGAAGGGCCAUCGCUCAACGGAUAAAAGCUACCCUGGGGAUAACAGGCUUAUCUCCCCCAAGAGUCCACAUCGACGGGGAGGUUUGGCACCUCGAUGUCGGCUCAUCACAUCCUGGGGCUGUAGUAGGUCCCAAGGGUUGGGCUGUUCGCCCAUUAAAGUGGUACGCGAGCUGGGUUCAGAACGUCGUGAGACAGUUCGGUCCCUAUCCGUCGCAGGCGUAGGAAAUUUGAGAAGACCUGUCCUUAGUACGAGAGGACCGGGAUGGACGUACCUCUGGUGUACCAGUUGUCCUGCCAAGGGCAUGGCUGGGUAGCUAUGU
This 456-nucleotide ribosomal RNA is filed under the name Clostridioides difficile. RNAcentral describes it as "partial 23S ribosomal RNA". It matches the Rfam family "Bacterial large subunit ribosomal RNA", at positions 2299 to 2754 of the family's 2925-position model. Lineage: Bacteria; Bacillati; Bacillota; Clostridia; Peptostreptococcales; Peptostreptococcaceae. The record is from RNAcentral.